CGCGUAGGCGGUCUUCUAUGUCAGGUGUGAAAGCCCGGGGCUCAACCCCGGAAGUGCAUUUGAAACUGGGAGACUUGAGUAUGGGAGAGGGAAGUGGAAUUCCUGGUGUAGCGGUGAAAUGCGUAGAUAUCAGGAGGAACACCGGUGGCGAAGGCGACUUCCUGGACCAAUACUGACGCUGAGGCGCGAAGGCGUGGGGAGCAAACA
RNAcentral lists this ribosomal RNA (207 nucleotides) under uncultured bacterium. RNAcentral's name for it is "partial 16S ribosomal RNA". It matches the Rfam family "Bacterial small subunit ribosomal RNA", at positions 568 to 774 of the family's 1533-position model. The record is from RNAcentral.